RNAcentral lists this ribosomal RNA (543 nucleotides) under Vexillum cancellarioides. RNAcentral describes it as "partial 16S ribosomal RNA". It matches the Rfam family "Bacterial large subunit ribosomal RNA", at positions 1798 to 2613 of the family's 2925-position model. The record is from RNAcentral. Lineage: Eukaryota; Metazoa; Mollusca; Gastropoda; Neogastropoda; Costellariidae.
GCCUGUUUAUCAAAAACAUGGCUCUUUGUAAAUAAUAAAUAAAGAGUCGGACCUGCCCGGUGAUAAUUUUAACGGCCGCGGUACCCUGACCGUGCAAAGGUAGCAUAAUCAUUUGCCUUGUAAUUUAAGGCUAGUAUGAAGGGUUUGACAAGAAUACAACUGUCUCCUUUUGGUUAGAUAGAACUUUACUUAUAAGUGAAGAGACUUAUAUAAAAUUAAUAGACAAGAAGACCCUAUCGAGCUUUAAAAAAAUUAGUAGAAAUACAUGAAAUGAAUAAAUAAAAUCAAAUCUAUUAAGAAUUUUGGUUGGGGCGACUAAGGAACAAUUAAAGCUUCCUAUAUAUACUAAACAUUCAAGUAACGAUCCAGAAAAUUCUGAUUAAAGGAAUUAGUUACCGUAGGGAUAACAGCAUUAUCUUUUUUGAGAGCUCUUAUCGAAAAAAAGGUUUGUGACCUCGAUGUUGGACCAGAAUAUCCUAAAGAUGCAGCAGUCUUUAAGGGUUGGUCUGUUCGACCAUUAAAAUUCUACGUGAUCUGAGUUCA